GCAAGUCUGAACCAGCCAUGCCGCGUGGAGGAUUAAGGCCCUCUGGGUUGUAAACUCCUUUUAUCUGGGAAGAAAUGUACUUUUUCUUGAGUACUUGACGGUACCAGAGGAAUAAGCACCGGCUAACUCCGUGCCAGCAGCCGCGGUAAU
RNAcentral lists this ribosomal RNA (150 nucleotides) under uncultured soil bacterium. Its description in RNAcentral is "partial 16S ribosomal RNA". It matches the Rfam family "Bacterial small subunit ribosomal RNA", at positions 377 to 524 of the family's 1533-position model. The record is from RNAcentral.